GGCGAGUGAAGCGGGAAGAGCUCAAGCUUAAAAUCUCUGUACAAAUUUUGUGCGGCGAAUUGUAGUCUAUGGAGGCGUGAUCAGUGUAGGUACUUGAGAUAAGUUUCUUGAAAAAGAACAGCAUGGAGGGUGAAACUCCCGUUCAUACUUAAGUGGCUUGCAUGUACGAUCCGUUUUCUUUGAGUCGCGUUGUUUGAGAAUGCAGCGCAAAGUAGGUGGUAAAUUCCAUCUAAAGCUAAAUAUUGGUGCGAGACCGAUAGCGAACAAGUACCGUGAGGGAAAGAUGAAAAGAACUCUGAAAAGAGAGUUAAAGAGUACCUGAAACUGCUGAAAGGGAACCGAAUCGUUUCUAGUGUCUAUAAUCUAUGACAUAUUCCAUUGGGAAGUGUGUGCGUGUGUAUACUAUGGCAGCGGCUUUUGUUGCGCUUGGUGUGCGUGCUGUAUGUGCUUUCUGGUGCCCUGUGUUAUAGUGUGACGUCAAGGUCAGUUUGUAUGCUGCGGGAAAUGGCUACUAGGGAGGUAGGGCUCGCGCUUGCGCUUGUCUAUUAUAUCUUGGUAGUGUGUCGUGGUUGAGACUGAGGUGUCUACAACGUGCUUAUGAGUGGGUCUGUGUCUCCGUGUGCGCCGUGUGCAGAUAGCUUGCUAUGUGUGUGUGGUGRUGGUGGAUUGAUGUGGGCUUUAACUUGUCGCCGUUCGGGACUUUGACGAAAUAGAGCGAUUUGACCCGUCUUGAAACACGGACCAAGGAGUCUAACAUAUGUGCAAGUGUUAGGGUGUGGAAACCCCAGCGCGAAAUGAAAGUAAAGGAUACUGAAGUAUCUGAGGUAGGAAAUGCUAUGUUAUGGUGUGGCACUAUCGACCGAUCAUGAACCCUCGUGGUGAAAGAUUUGAGUUUGAGCACAUAUGUUGGUACCCGAAAGAUGG
Molecule: ribosomal RNA, 924 nt
Filed under: Hyaloperonospora lunariae
Lineage: Eukaryota; Oomycota; Peronosporomycetes; Peronosporales; Peronosporaceae
Description: LSU rRNA
Rfam family: Eukaryotic large subunit ribosomal RNA
Source: RNAcentral